Non-coding RNA from Cucurbita pepo subsp. pepo (vegetable marrow), 491 nucleotides. NCBI's taxonomy places the organism in Eukaryota, Viridiplantae, Streptophyta, Magnoliopsida, Cucurbitales, Cucurbitaceae. The record is from RefSeq and is a predicted model, not a curated record.
AUUUUGAUUCAGCACAGUCCACGGAAUUGAAUGGAAUUUGGGGAAGAACAAGAAACGAAGAGGAAGAAGGGCAGAGAGGGAGAGGGGUUGGUUGUAGUAAGAGAAGGUCCACGCAGCGCAACCUCAACCUGAACCACUGCGAAUUCAACGCUCAUGCUCUCUCUCAAUUCCAUUUCUCAAUUCCUCGUUCCAUUCAUCUGUGGCUGUGUUAAAUUCCCCAUUCUUCAUCGUCGCCCUUCAGAGAAACCAACCUCUCGGGGCGCAGCCAUGAUUACUCGAUCGAAUCUGGUUGAACAGUUGAGAGAAUACCAGAUUCGAUCCAAGCACGACUGGGCUUCCGCCUCCUUCUUCUCCUCUACCUCUAAUAUUACAUCCUCCAGGGUGGAUGUAGUCAUUUUUGUAAUAUGGGAACUCAUAAUUCUAUCCUUCUUGGUGUUUUCGGCGGUCUCUUUAUAUUUUCGACAUAUACAGUUGACUUUCGUUUUAGUAUG